UAGGGAAUAUUGCGCAAUGGGGGAAACCCUGACGCAGCAACGCCGCGUGGAGGAUGACACUUUUCGGAGCGUAAACUCCUUUUCUUAGGGAAGAAUUCUGACGGUACCUAAGGAAUAAGCACCGGCUAACUCCGUGCCAGCAGCCGCGGUAAUACGGAGGGUGCAAGCGUUACUCGGAAUCACUGGGCGUAAAGGGCGCGUAGGCGGAUUAUCAAGUCUCUUGUGAAAUCUAAUGGCUUAACCAUUAAACUGCUUGGGAAACUGAUAGUCUAGAGUGAGGGAGAGGCAGAUGGAAUUGGUGGUGUAGGGGUAAAAUCCGUAGAUAUCACCAAGAAUACCCAUUGCGAAGGCGAUCUGCUGGAACUCAACUGACGCUAAGGCGCGAAAGCGUGGGGAGCAAACAGG
Molecule: ribosomal RNA, 405 nt
Filed under: uncultured bacterium
Lineage: Bacteria
Also listed under: 1 other name
Description: bacterial SSU rRNA
Rfam family: Bacterial small subunit ribosomal RNA
Source: RNAcentral